RNAcentral lists this ribosomal RNA (1022 nucleotides) under Cellulophaga lytica. RNAcentral's name for it is "bacterial SSU rRNA". It matches the Rfam family "Bacterial small subunit ribosomal RNA", at positions 44 to 1070 of the family's 1533-position model. Lineage: Bacteria; Pseudomonadati; Bacteroidota; Flavobacteriia; Flavobacteriales; Flavobacteriaceae. The record is from RNAcentral.
CGGCUUACACAUGCAAGUCGAGGGGUAACAGAGGAGCUUGCUCUUGCUGACGACCGGCGCACGGGUGCGUAACGCGUAUACAAUCUGCCUUACACUAAGGGAUAGCCCAGAGAAAUUUGGAUUAACACCUUAUAGUUUAUUUUUAUGGCAUCAUUUAAAUAAUAAAGUUUACGGUGUAAGAUGAGUAUGCGUCCCAUUAGUUUGUUGGUAAGGUAACGGCUUACCAAGACUACGAUGGGUAGGGGCCCUGAGAGGGGGAUCCCCCACACUGGUACUGAGACACGGACCAGACUCCUACGGGAGGCAGCAGUGAGGAAUAUUGGACAAUGGAGGAGACUCUGAUCCAGCCAUGCCGCGUGCAGGAAGACGGUCCUAUGGAUUGUAAACUGCUUUUAUACAGGAAGAAUAAGGACUACGUGUAGUCUGGUGACGGUACUGUAAGAAUAAGGACCGGCUAACUCCGUGCCAGCAGCCGCGGUAAUACGGAGGGUCCGAGCGUUAUCCGGAAUUAUUGGGUUUAAAGGGUCCGUAGGCGGGCUGUUAAGUCAGGGGUGAAAGUUUGCAGCUCAACUGUAGAAUUGCCUUUGAUACUGAUGGUCUUGAAUUAUUGUGAAGUGGUUAGAAUAUGUAGUGUAGCGGUGAAAUGCAUAGAUAUUACAUAGAAUACCGAUUGCGAAGGCAGAUCACUAACAAUUGAUUGACGCUGAUGGACGAAAGCGUGGGUAGCGAACAGGAUUAGAUACCCUGGUAGUCCACGCCGUAAACGAUGGAUACUAGCUGUUUGGAUUUCGAUCUGAGCGGCCAAGCGAAAGUGAUAAGUAUCCCACCUGGGGAGUACGUUCGCAAGAAUGAAACUCAAAGGAAUUGACGGGGGCCCGCACAAGCGGUGGAGCAUGUGGUUUAAUUCGAUGAUACGCGAGGAACCUUACCAGGGCUUAAAUGUAGAUUGACAGGUUUAGAGAUAGACUUUCCUUCGGGCAAUUUACAAGGUGCUGCAUGGUUGUCGUCAGCUCGUGCCGGGA